GUUAUAUGGUCAAGAAGAGAAGCGCAAACGGUGGAUGCCUUGGCAGUAAGAGGCGAAGAAGGACGUGGAAUCCUGCGAAAAGCUAUGGGGAGCUGGAAACGAGCGUUGAGCCAUAGAUGUCCGAAUGGGGGAACCCGGCUGCAGUAAUGCGGUCAUUUGCAUUUGAAUACAUAGGAUGCAAAGGCGAACUCGGGGAACUGAAACAUCUAAGUACCCGAAGGAAAAGAAAUCAAGAGAGAUUCUC
This 244-nucleotide ribosomal RNA is filed under the name Legionella pneumophila. RNAcentral describes it as "partial 23S ribosomal RNA". It matches the Rfam family "Bacterial large subunit ribosomal RNA", at positions 1 to 239 of the family's 2925-position model. Lineage: Bacteria; Pseudomonadati; Pseudomonadota; Gammaproteobacteria; Legionellales; Legionellaceae. The record is from RNAcentral.